GCCAUACUUUCCUGUAUAGGAGAAUAGAGUGGUAUAGGUUUAUACAAAGAGAAUUUUACUUCUAGAGACACAUUAUCACUUUACGAUUACAUUUAGCACAUCUUACUUUUGACACACUUUUUUCAUAUGAAUUGUCACUUUUACCUUUUCAUUACACAAACUAUAGAUUUCAGAAAAAUAUUUACGAUUCUCCACUUAUCCUCUUUGUUUCUUUUUCAUGUUUAAAAUUUAAAAUCACUUUCCCAAAUCGAUGAAUCCUAAUUUUCCCUCCGUCUGCUGAAUAAAUGGAGAACAGGUGACUGAGUUGCUACGAGAGUCUCUCGGAUUCGUUCAAGUCGACAUGUUAUGUGGAUGAGGAGCAUGUUACGGGUUUUGGAGCUUUCAAUUUGGAUGAAUAGCUAUUCGAACAUUCCGAAGGAUUCAUAAACAAUGGCUUUGACGACAACAGAUCAAAUCCGAUGAUGGCGUCUCCUCCAUGGCCGCUCGUCGCUGAGAGAAGAAAGAGUCAGAGAGAUGUUGAGCUAGAGGUUGAGUUAUUUCCAGGAGCUGAUUACAAGAUAAUCACCAAGGAUCUCCGUCGCCGGUGACACAAAACCCAGAAACCGGUCUGCUUCCUCGCAUGUCCAGUUCCUGGUCAGAUUCAGUGGCCAACCGUGGCCGAGCUACACCCGUGACGUCUCCUUGCGGCAAUCUCCAAGCUCUCUGUCGCCGUGAACCCAAAACUUGAUAACUUCCAAUGACGAUCUCUUCUUAGUUUCAUAGUAGGUCCCUAAAUGCUUUAUUAUUUUCCCAUUGUGCUUUAAACUUCUAAAUUGUACAGAAAAUUCUUUUUGAAUCAACCCCCCUAACUUCCAAUUUUGUACUCUAAACCUUUUCCAUAAUUGCACAAUGGUCAAUUGUUUUCUGAUGUUUUUUUAAUUUGGAUACAAAAUUUUGAAUUUGCAGAAAUGACUGAUCUGUGUGAAAUAUAUGUAUACAACUUGUCCAUCCACAAUCUAUCCAUCCAUAAUUUUAUGUAAUUUUUUUU
This 1027-nucleotide long non-coding RNA is filed under the name Brassica rapa (field mustard). Its description in RNAcentral is "long non-coding RNA (BRAP_LNC007516)". The record is from RNAcentral. Lineage: Eukaryota; Viridiplantae; Streptophyta; Magnoliopsida; Brassicales; Brassicaceae.